RNAcentral lists this unclassified non-coding RNA (4493 nucleotides) under Hevea brasiliensis (rubber tree). The record is from RNAcentral. Lineage: Eukaryota; Viridiplantae; Streptophyta; Magnoliopsida; Malpighiales; Euphorbiaceae.
UCAUGAAAAAUUGUUUUUUUUUUUUUAAUUAUUUUUUCGUUUAAUUUGAUGGCUUCUUUUUAUUGAUUAGUUGAAUUCGUUCUCGUGCCUUAGCAAAUCGGUGAAAUUUAUUUUAGGUUUUGCUUAUUGCACUUAUAUACCGAUUGUUUUCAUGCAUUUUAGUAGUUGCCUGCUUAUUGUUGAAUGGCGGGCGUGGUUCAUUUUGGUUAUUUGAUAUAUCAAGAUCAAUUUCUGUAUAGUUACGAGUACAAGAAUUCAUGCCUUGAACACCUGUCUAGCAAUGUAUGUAUAGUCAAGAAUUCAAAUCCAAUCUCCUCCUCUUUUCUCCUUUUAAAUUUGAUGUUGUUCUUCAAUUAUUGUAGUGCUAUUGUAUAUUUGUAUUAUAAUCCAUGUUUAAUAUGCUAAACCUAUAUAUGGAAGAAAAUUGUAGGAUUGACUUGUAGGAUUUCAGCUAUAUUAUUAUUAAUGGUUUAGCUACUUUUAUAAUAGAGUAAUAAAAUUUCUACCGUGGCUUAGGGUAACUAAUAAUGUUCUGCUACAGCAAACAGAGCUUAUGAUUUAUGAACCACAAAUUCGGUGUUGUUUGCUUCUCGAACAAAAUGUGAAGGAUAAGCAAUUGAUAGAUAGCAAUAGUAUGAUGUGAUAAAUUGAUCUACCAGAGUGCAUGUGCAUCUGAGUAUAGCCAAGCUGCAAUAUCUUCAAGUUGCUCAUUCCUCUUUAUCUUUGGAUUCAAGGUUUUAAGUUUCUCUUUGUUGUUGGUUAGUUACCUUGUAUUCUUAUAUGCCAUUUUUCCCCAACAUGGCGUCUUAUUUAAGUUGUUAGUUUUUCCAUGAUAAUGUAUGUUACAAUUACAUUCAAAAUUCUGAUGGGAUGAUUCUGUGUUGGAAUUUAUAUUGCUUGUAGAUGGACUCCUUAUGGAAAUACCAAGUGCAUGAUUUGCAAGCAGCAGGUACACCAAGAUGCCAAAUACUGUCACACCUGUGCUUAUACCAAAGGGGUUUGUGCAAUGUGUGGUAAGCAAGUACUUGACACUAAGUUUUACAAACAAAGUAAUGUAUAAUUCAAAGCAGAUGCUAUUUGGCAUGUUGAAUUAGAUGUAAUGGUUUAUGGACUGUUUCAAGCUUAAUUGAUCACUAUCAUUUACUUACAAUAUGAAAUGGAGGCUGUAAAGAUCACCAACUUUUAUGUAAUGUACUGGUAUGCUUGGUGGGUUUCAUUCUUACUGGGUAAUGAAAUAUGGUAGUAACAGCUUUUCUCUAUUCUUUCUUAAUAAUUUUAUAGACAAUUUGGUUUAUCUUGCUUGCUUAGGUACAAUUUGCAUUUUCCAUUUGUUUAUAUCGCUUAGUCAAGAACUGUCAGCCAGCAGAGAGAGGCUUGAUCAACCCAGCAAAACCAUAGAGCAACUAAACUAGAGCCCAUAAACAAUCGUAGAAAGUACAAAGGCCAUUGGGGUCAAGGGAACCAUUUAAGCAUAGAUUGGCCGCCUACAUUGUAAGAAGAAAAUGGAGGAGCAGGACCUAGUUGGCAUCUCAGUCUCUUUUAACUAGGGCGGUAGCACUCUCUCGGUUGAAUGCUGUAAAUCUUACAGAUACUUUCUUCUCAUAUCCUUGUACACCUCCCAGAUGAAACAAAUCGACCAAGGCACCUCCUUUAAGUCAACUUAACCUGCAAAAACAAUAAUACAACCAACAAAGAAGAAAGCAAUAGAGAAAAACCAACACAUAGAAGUAUCAACAGUCCAAGGAUUCCUCAAAUGGUCACCACUGCUGCCCUUAACUAAAACCUAUCUACACCUUAACUCACCACUAAGGAGGGGUAAGCCACUAAACUAAGAGAAAGAGACUCUAGGCUCUAAGGAAAGGAAAAAAUGAGAGCUCUCUCUCCCCAGAAAGAGAGACACGAGUUGUCUAUUGCAUGAUAAAAGUUGAAUUCAUAAUAGAAUAGUAAUAAAAUAGUUCUAUAUGAGCUUGCCCCCAAGGAUUAAGGAGUUCAUAUUAUUGGUUUUGGUGGUAGGCACACGGUUACAUCUAUUCAAAGCUUUUGUUAGUUUUGUGACUGAUAGACUAAUUUUAGUAGCAGAAUUUGAUGCUGCUAAUAAGAUUAAAUUGGAAUAUUUGAGGGUUGGAAAGCCCAUAUAUUAUGCUUCUAAUCAUGCAUUAGGUGUGUUUUUUAGUGUCUGACUGUCACUCGGCAAAUGCUAAUCUCAGUCUACUGUCAAAAGAUUUGUGAUUCUCCACUUGCAAAACCUAACUUAUGAUAUCUUCAUUCCUUUAUUUCUUUUUUCCAAUCUCAUACUGUGCACACUGAAAUUUAUACCCGUUGUUCUGGCGGAAGUCUGAUAUGCCCCGUCACGCCGUGAGCCCGUGUUUGUUGGAACCGGCCGUCAUCUGCUCAAAGGUAGUAUCUAAAGAUAUUUCAUCUAACUUGCAAGAAAGUUCACACUACUAAUUAAAAAAUGGUGCUUUAGUGGCAGUCUCUCCUUAUCAAAUUUGUUCCAUCUCUGAACCAAUGCAUCUCGUUAAUAUUACCGUCAAAGGUUAGUGAAAGAAGAAACGUUUUAGAAAGAGGGAACUCUUGAUUUUCCUUCUAACUGCAUGUUACUAGCGAAAAUGAGAAGGGCGAUAGGCGUCGACAAUGCGAGACAAAUCCAACCAAAUGGUUUGGACACGACUCUCUCCAUUUACUAAACAUAUAGAUUCUUUUUUAGAUGAAGUUGAAAGCAAAAUCCAAACCGGGAUUUACGGAUAAGAACAAUCACAUGGGGCCGGUGGUGCAAGGAAGUGGCCAGUGAAAAAAUCUCGAUCCAAAUUCCAAUCCCAAUUAACUUAGAACAGUCUAAUUGGUGCACAUGAAAACAUAGGAAAGAACUCAAACAAGGACAUAUUAACAUGGACACUUGAUCCUAAUUAAAAGAUGAGAAAUCAUGAAAACAACCCCGAGAAAAUCAAAGACCAACUUCGCACAGAAACACUGCAGAGUUACAGGAGAAGAAUUUGGAAUCAUCUUGUCCCUUAAAUGAACAGAAGCAGACAUGAUCUUGUCAACUCCAAAAGUGAUACUUGGCCUGGUAGUUUCAUUCGCUGGUCGAGUAUCUGGAGUUCCAAUACUUCUCAAUCUCCUCUGCUGUUCUUCCGGGAAUCCUCCCAGCAAUUAGAGACCACCUCUCUCCAACUAGAUUAAACAUCCUAAUUACAAGCUCUUCCUCAUCCUCAGAGAAUUCAAGCUUCGAUUCUUUAUUCCUUUCCUCUGAACAAAACUACUCAAAAUCAACACUGGAGCAAAAAGAUCCAGUCUUGUUGGAACAAACAUUUCAUGAUACAUAGAAGAACUUGGAACAAGUAGCUACUGAGACAGAGAAAAAGCAAUAAGGACUAUAAAAGAAAUAAAACUCAAACAAAGCAGUACAUUUCAAACUAAAUACCUUGAGAGUCCACAUAAGUCUCAUCAGAAGAAGAAUGUUCAGAUUCAGCCAUGUGGGUAAGAAUGGAGUAAAAGACUGCGCCUCACCAAUUUGCCAAUAGGAACACUCAAUUAUGAGGCAAUAGUGAUAGGUUUAAAGGCAGUGAAACUGAAAGUGCUUAUGUGUGUGAAUAUAUUAACAGGAGCACAGUUUUUCAGGAGAAGAAAAAAGGCAUCUUUGAGAAUAAACAAAUGUAUGGUGCUGAGGAAACGAAGAAUGUUAGUUGUGUAACAGGGUUGAAAUCUAGCAAGUUUGAUUGUCAGUCCAACUAGCCAACUGCUCAUGCAAAAGAAAAAAAGAAUCAUGUGAAAUUAAUUCUGAGUUGUCAUGUUGAUGAUUGAGUGGCUUUAAAACUUCAUCUACUCCUUUUGCUGCUUGCAAUUAAUUGCAAGGUUCUGCUAAUAAAUUCUGUAUUUGUCAUAGUCAAUAAAGAAAUCAUCUUUAAUCAGGAUUCCAAGAGCCUAAUUUGUCUGUAUACACUAAAUUAUUGAGUAGCAAUACACUAGUAAUAAUAAAGUAUGCUAUCUUCUCUCAAAAGCUAAUCCCAUUUAUAGCUAUAGAUUAAUGUUUAAAUUUAAAUGCCGCUUGUCGCAUUUCUAUUGAAAAUGAGAAAGAUAAAAGCCCCAGAAACGGCAGGAAGUGGAGGUCAAGUUCUCUGUUAACUUAUUCUUGGAAGUAUUCAACAACAGUUUCUUUAGCUGGAUCAGGCAAGAAGCUAUUACUAUCAUGAAUGUGCAUUCCUAACUUGCCCUUUGCAGGUGAAAUGUCCUUAUCCUUCAGUUGUUGAUAUAUGCUUUACAUCAAUAUUUCACUGUCAGGUAUUAAAUAUUCUCCAAUCAGCAUUUGGUUUGGCCCUCAAAAAAUUCAUGCUGAUCUCAUGACCUUAGAGAAGGUGAAAAAACUUGAAGUUAGCUGCAAGCUUUCAAGAGAUCAAAGGCAUUGUGAAACCUAAUGUAGCCGCACUAUAUCUAUUUGGAUAGGUUGCCAGUAUGUUCAAUGGAUUAGGGCUUCCUUUUUUCUCUUUUUUUUUCCU